GGUGAACGCUGGCGGCGUGCCUAAUACAUGCAAGUCGAGCGAACAGACGAGGAGCUUGCUCCUCUGACGUUAGCGGCGGACGGGUGAGUAACACGUGGAUAACCUACCUAUAAGACUGGGAUAACUUCGGGAAACCGGAGCUAAUACCGGAUAAUAUAUUGAACCGCAUGGUUCAAUAGUGAAAGACGGUUUUGCUGUCACUUAUAGAUGGAUCCGCGCCGCAUUAGCUAGUUGGUAAGGUAACGGCUUACCAAGACAACGAUGCGUAGCCGACCUGAGAGGGUGAUCGGCCACACUGGAACUGAGACACGGUCCAGACUCCUACGGGAGGCAGCAGUAGGGAAUCUUCCGCAAUGGGCGAAAGCCUGACGGAGCAACGCCGCGUGAGUGAUGAAGGUCUUCGGAUCGUAAAACUCUGUUAUUAGGGAAGAACAAAUGUGUAAGUAACUAUGCACGUCUUGACGGUACCUAAUCAGAAAGCCACGGCUAACUACGUG
Molecule: ribosomal RNA, 497 nt
Filed under: uncultured bacterium
Lineage: Bacteria
Description: partial 16S ribosomal RNA
Rfam family: Bacterial small subunit ribosomal RNA
Source: RNAcentral